Molecule: unclassified non-coding RNA, 341 nt
Filed under: soil metagenome
Description: partial contains 5.8S ribosomal RNA, internal transcribed spacer 2, and large subunit ribosomal RNA
Rfam family: 5.8S ribosomal RNA (bases 1-120)
Source: RNAcentral
GAUGAAGAACGCAGCGAAAUGCGAUAAGUAGUGUGAAUUGCAGAAUUCAGUGAAUCAUCGAAUCUUUGAACGCACAUUGCGCCCUUUGGUAUUCCAAAGGGCAUGCCUGUUCGAGCGUCAUUUGUACCCUCAAGCUUUGCUUGGUGUUGGGCGUCUUGUCUCUAGCUUUGCUGGAGACUCGCCUUAAAGUAAUUGGCAGCCGGCCUACUGGUUUCGGAGCGCAGCACAAGUCGCACUCUGUAUCAGCAAAGGUCUAGCAUCCAUUAAACCUUUUUUUCAACUUUUGACCUCGGAUCAGGUAGGGAUACCCGCUGAACUUAAGCAUAUCAAUAAGCGGAGGA